This 465-nucleotide ribosomal RNA is filed under the name uncultured bacterium. RNAcentral's name for it is "bacterial SSU rRNA". It matches the Rfam family "Bacterial small subunit ribosomal RNA", at positions 331 to 795 of the family's 1533-position model. The record is from RNAcentral.
CCAGACUCCUACGGGAGGCAGCAGUGAGGAAUAUUGGUCAAUGGUCGGGAGACUGAACCAGCCAAGCCGCGUGAGGGAGGAAGGUACAGAGUAUCGUAAACCUCUUUUGUCAGGGAACAAAGGCGGGGACGUGUCCCCGGAUGAGUGUACCUGAAGAAAAAGCAUCGGCUAACUCCGUGCCAGCAGCCGCGGUAAUACGGAGGAUGCGAGCGUUAUCCGGAUUUAUUGGGUUUAAAGGGUGUGUAGGCGGGACGGUAAGUCAGCGGUAAAAAUGCGGAGCUCAACUCCGGCGAGCCGUUGAAACUGCCGUUCUUGAGUGAGCGAGAAGUAUGCGGAAUGCGUGGUGUAGCGGUGAAAUGCAUAGAUAUCACGCAGAACCCCGAUUGCGAAGGCAGCAUGCCGGCUUCCGACUGACGCUGAAGCACGAAAGCGUGGGGAUCGAACAGGAUUAGAUACCCCUGUAAC